AACAGGAUUAGAUACCCUGGUAGUCCACGCCGUAAACGAUGUCGACUUGGAGGCUGUUCCCUUGAGGAGUGGCUUCCGGAGCUAACGCGUUAAGUCGACCGCCUGGGGAGUACGGCCGCAAGGUUAAAACUCAAAUGAAUUGACGGGGGCCCGCACAAGCGGUGGAGCAUGUGGUUUAAUUCGAUGCAACGCGAAGAACCUUACCCACUCUUGACAUCCAGAGAAUUUAGCAGAGAUGCUUUAGUGCCUUCGGGAACUCUGAGACAGGUGCUGCAUGGCUGUCGUCAGCUCGUGUUGUGAAAUGUUGGGUUAAGUCCCGCAACGAGCGCAACCCUUAUCCUUUGUUGCCAGCGCGUAAUGGCGGGAACUCAAAGGAGACUGCCGGUGAUAAACCGGAGGAAGGUGGGGAUGACGUCAAGUCAUCAUGGCCCUUACGAGUAGGGCUACACACGUGCUACAAUGGCGCAUACAAAGAGAAGCGACCUCGCGAGAGCAAGCGGACCUCAUAAAGUGCGUCGUAGUCCGGAUUGGAGUCUGCAACUCGACUCCAUGAAGUCGGAAUCGCUAGUAAUCGUAAAUCAGAAUGUUACGGUGAAUACGUUCCCGGGCCUUGUACACACCGCCCGUCACACCAUGGGAGUGGGUUGCAAAAGAAGUAGAUAGCUUAACCUUCGGGAGGGCGUUUACCACUUUGUGAUUCAUGACUGGGGUGAAGUCGUAACAAGGUAACCGUAGGGGAACCUGCGGCUGGAUCACCUCCUU
This 762-nucleotide ribosomal RNA is filed under the name uncultured bacterium. RNAcentral's name for it is "bacterial SSU rRNA". It matches the Rfam family "Bacterial small subunit ribosomal RNA", at positions 771 to 1532 of the family's 1533-position model. The record is from RNAcentral.